CUUGUUCUUUAAAUAAGGACUUGUAUCAACGGCAUCACGAGGGUUCUACUGUCUCCCCUUUCUAAUCAGUGAAACUGACUUCCCCGUGAAGAGGCGGGGAUGUGACUACAAGACGAGAAGACCCCAUGGAGCUUUAAACCCACUUACAACCUCAUCUAAAUAUUACCACAUAAAUGAAAGUACUGUACAGUGGUUUUAGGUUGGGGUGACCACGGAGUAAAACCAAACCUCCAUGACGAACGGAUAAAUCAUCCUAAUCCAUGAGCUACCGCUCUAAGAAUCAAAAAAUUGACAUAUAUGAUCCGGUAACCGAUCAACGAACCAAGUUACCCUGGGGAUAACAGCGCAAUCCAUUUCAAGAGCCCCUAUCGACAAAUGGGUUUACGACCUCGAUGUUGGAUCAGGGUAUCCUAGUGGUGCAGCCGCUACUAAAGGUUUGUUUGUUCAACAAUUAAAACCCU
This 461-nucleotide ribosomal RNA is filed under the name Limnonectes hikidai. Its description in RNAcentral is "partial 16S ribosormal RNA". It matches the Rfam family "Bacterial large subunit ribosomal RNA", at positions 1968 to 2597 of the family's 2925-position model. The record is from RNAcentral. Lineage: Eukaryota; Metazoa; Chordata; Amphibia; Anura; Dicroglossidae.